This 460-nucleotide ribosomal RNA is filed under the name uncultured bacterium. RNAcentral's name for it is "partial 16S ribosomal RNA". It matches the Rfam family "Bacterial small subunit ribosomal RNA", at positions 338 to 795 of the family's 1533-position model. The record is from RNAcentral.
CCUACGGGAGGCUGCAGUGAGGAAUAUUGGUCAAUGGACGAGAGUCUGAACCAGCCAAGUAGCGUGAAGGAUGACUGCCCUAUGGGUUGUAAACUUCUUUUAUAUGGGAAUAAAACGUUCCACGUGUGGGAUUUUGUAUGUACCAUAUGAAUAAGGAUCGGCUAACUCCGGGCCAGCAGCCGCGGUAAUACGGAGGAUCCGAGCGUUAUCCGGAUUUAUUGGGUUUAAAGGGAGCGUAGGUGGAUUGUUAAGGCAGUUGUGAAAGUGUGCGGCUCAACCGUAAAAUUGCAGUUGAAACUGGCAGUCUUGAGUACAGGAGAGGUGGGCGGAAUUCGUGGUGUAGCGGUGAAAUGCUUAGAUAUCACGAAGAACUCCGAUUGCGAAGGCAGUUCACUGGACUGCAACUGACACUGAGGCUCGAAAGUGUGGGUAUCAAACAGGAUUAGAUACCCCGGUAGUC